This 549-nucleotide ribosomal RNA is filed under the name uncultured bacterium. RNAcentral's name for it is "bacterial SSU rRNA". It matches the Rfam family "Bacterial small subunit ribosomal RNA", at positions 356 to 896 of the family's 1533-position model. The record is from RNAcentral.
GGGGAAUCUUCCGCAAUGGACGAAAGUCUGACGGAGCAACGCCGCGUGAGUGAUGACGGCCUUCGGGUUGUAAAGCUCUGUUAAUCGGGACGAAAGGCCUUCUUGCAAAUAGUUAGAAGGAUUGACGGUACCGGAAUAGAAAGCCACGGCUAACUACGUGCCAGCAGCCGCGGUAAUACGUAGGUGGCAAGCGUUGUCCGGAAUUAUUGGGCGUAAAGCGCGCGCAGGCGGAUUGGUCAGUCUGUCUUAAAAGUUCGGGGCUUAACCCCGUGAUGGGAUGGAAACUGCCAAUCUAGAGUAUCGGAGAGGAAAGUGGAAUUCCUAGUGUAGCGGUGAAAUGCGUAGAUAUUAGGAAGAACACCAGUGGCGAAGGCGACUUUCUGGACGAAAACUGACGCUGAGGCGCGAAAGCCAGGGGAGCGAACGGGAUUAGAUACCCCGGUAGUCCUGGCCGUAAACGAUGGGUACUAGGUGUAGGAGGUAUCGACCCCUUCUGUGCCGGAGUUAACGCAAUAAGUACCCCGCCUGGGGAGUACGACCGCAAGGUUG